Non-coding RNA from Phascolarctos cinereus (koala), 428 nucleotides. The record is from RefSeq and is a predicted model, not a curated record. NCBI's taxonomy places the organism in Eukaryota, Metazoa, Chordata, Mammalia, Diprotodontia, Phascolarctidae.
AAGAAAAGAGUCCCAUUGGUGGGAAAAGCAAUUUCUCAAAAUCCCAAAGUGAAUCUGCUCAUUUGGAGGAGUCAUGAUUCCAAGAAUCAUCAAAGUCCAGUGGCAAGACGAAAGUCAGGACAACUGAGGAUGGCCCGGGAUAUAGCGGAUGACCUUGGCAUCUUCCAAGUGUGACCAAGCUCUAAUGGUUUCACAAAACCUGCUUCAACCACCUUCAUAGCCUUUGGAACAAAUUGUUCUCUUCCACCCAUUCCACUGCGGGAAGCCUUCACAUGCUUGGGUUAGACAUUCCCCAGUUCACCUGCAGGUUGGAAGUCUGUUGGUUACCCUCAACCUUGUUUAGCCCAUCUGUUGAGAUGAUUUACCAGAGUGUGGCCGCUAUACAUGCUACUGCUUCUUGGAGCCACAGUUUUACAAAGAGCACCCCC